GUGGGAACGCGCGCGCGCGCCUGGUAAUGUCUUACAAUAACAGAAUGCAGGAGAGCACAUAUCAAUGAAGAAAAGACAAAAUGUACUUAUCCAUGAAGCUGAGGUUAAGAAACCAGUGUCUUCAAGAGCCAAGGACAGCACUGGGUCUGUGCAGAGUUGAGAGAUGGUGAUGACAUGUGGUUUCCAGCAUUCCUCACCCAGUCCAGGGACACUGUGGGUGUGCCCAGCUUAAGUCCAGUAACUGGAAAUACAAGCCCAAGUUCUGGAGAGUUUGAGCUGCAGAGAUAUAUGUGGGAACACUUUGAACCUUGACUCAUUGGCCAUAACCAGCAGAGUGGAAAAUACAAGAAGAGAAAAAAACAUUGAACUGCGAUUUUAUAACAUCCUUUACUCGGCAGAGAGAAGAGGAAACACCAGGAAAGAAAACUGUAUUACGAUGUGAAAACUUAACGUUGAGAAAUUCAGGCAUCUUGGGGUUAGUGAGGAGAAGUUUUAGGGGCUUAGAUUCUUCAAAACACAUGUACAGAAAUGCAUAUUUCAUCUGAUAUCAAAUGACAUUUAUAGUGCUAAUCUUUACCUCAAGACUUCACAUCUUUUGGUGAUUGCAUCUUUUAGGUUUAUAGCAGCUAAGUUUGCAUGAAAACACCA
Molecule: long non-coding RNA, 648 nt
Filed under: Pan troglodytes (chimpanzee)
Lineage: Eukaryota; Metazoa; Chordata; Mammalia; Primates; Hominidae
Description: long non-coding RNA NONPTRT015715
Source: RNAcentral